UACGUAGGUGGCGAGCGUUAUCCGGAAUUAUUGGGCGUAAAGAGCGCGCAGGUGGUUGAUUAAGUCUGAUGUGAAAGCCCACGGCUUAACCGUGGAGGGUCAUUGGAAACUGGCCGACUUGAGUGCAGAAGAGGGAAGUGGAAUUCCAUGUGUAGCGGUGAAAUGCGUAGAGAUAUGGAGGAACACCAGUGGCGAAGGCGGCUUCCUGGUCUGUAACUGACACUGAGGCGCGAAAGCGUGGGGAGCAAACAGG
Molecule: ribosomal RNA, 253 nt
Filed under: uncultured bacterium
Lineage: Bacteria
Description: partial 16S ribosomal RNA
Rfam family: Bacterial small subunit ribosomal RNA
Source: RNAcentral